UAUAUAUUGGAAUUAGCCGCUUUUUAUAACAAGACAAAUGAAACAUUGAUACGAAACGUUCUUUUGUUUGGAUCUUUCGUUGGGAACACGCUACGUUUUCGUCGUUGAAGACAAUAUUUCGAUUACAACAAAGAAAAAUGCCGAAACAUUUUCGGGAAUUGUCUUCGCGA
Monomorium pharaonis (pharaoh ant) is the source of this 170-nucleotide long non-coding RNA. RefSeq lists it as uncharacterized. The transcript is spliced from 2 exons. NCBI's taxonomy places the organism in Eukaryota, Metazoa, Arthropoda, Insecta, Hymenoptera, Formicidae. The record is from RefSeq and is a predicted model, not a curated record.